RNAcentral lists this ribosomal RNA (250 nucleotides) under uncultured bacterium. RNAcentral's name for it is "partial 16S ribosomal RNA". It matches the Rfam family "Bacterial small subunit ribosomal RNA", at positions 524 to 773 of the family's 1533-position model. The record is from RNAcentral.
UACGUAGGUGGCAAGCGUUGUCCGGAUUUACUGGGUGUAAAGGGUGCGCAGGCGGGUUAUCAAGUUGGGUGUGAAAUCUCCGUGCUUAACACGGAGUCUGCAUUCAAAACUGGUAAUCUUGAGUGAGGUAGAGGUAGAUGGAAUUCCCGGUGUAGCGGUGAAAUGCGUAGAGAUCGGGAGGAACACCAGUGGCGAAGGCGGUCUACUGGGCCUUAACUGACGCUGAGGCACGAAAGCAUGGGUAGCAAAC